CCGGCGCACGGGUGAGUAACGCGUAUGCAACUUGCCUAUCAGAGGGGGAUAACCCGGCGAAAGUCGGACUAAUACCGCAUGAAGCAGGGGCCCCGCAUGGGGAUAUUUGCUAAAGAUUCAUCGCUGAUAGAUAGGCAUGCGUUCCAUUAGGCAGUUGGCGGGGUAACGGCCCACCAAACCGACGAUGGAUAGGGGUUCUGAGAGGAAGGUCCCCCACAUUGGUACUGAGACACGGCCAA
This 239-nucleotide ribosomal RNA is filed under the name uncultured bacterium. RNAcentral describes it as "partial 16S ribosomal RNA". It matches the Rfam family "Bacterial small subunit ribosomal RNA", at positions 95 to 334 of the family's 1533-position model. The record is from RNAcentral.